RNAcentral lists this ribosomal RNA (305 nucleotides) under uncultured bacterium. RNAcentral describes it as "bacterial SSU rRNA". It matches the Rfam family "Bacterial small subunit ribosomal RNA", at positions 29 to 334 of the family's 1533-position model. The record is from RNAcentral.
AUUGAACGCUGGCGGCGUGCUUAACACAUGCAAGUCGAUCGGUAACAGGUGUAGCAAUACAUGCUGACGAGAGGCGGACGGGUGAGGAACGCUUGGGAAUCUGCCUAUCAGCGGGGGACAACCCGGGGAAACCCGGGCUAAUACCGCAUACGCUCUACGGAGGAAAGCCGGGGACCGCAAGGCCUGGCACUGAUAGAUGAGCCCAAGUCGGAUUAGCUAGUUGGCGGGUAACGGCCCACCAAGGCGACGAUCCGUAGCUGGUCUGAGAGGACGAUCAGCCACACCGGAACUGAGACACGGUCCGG